Molecule: ribosomal RNA, 1380 nt
Filed under: Triticum aestivum (bread wheat)
Lineage: Eukaryota; Viridiplantae; Streptophyta; Magnoliopsida; Poales; Poaceae
Description: partial small subunit ribosomal RNA
Source: RNAcentral
AUAUAUUCGUUCAAAUCAAUUCUAGCACUAGCCCUCCUUGUUGUUCUCGUGCCAUCCUCCCAUGGCGUCACGGACUUGGUGUCGUCGUCACCGCGGCCGUUCAACGGCAGCGGCGGUGGUGGCUUCAGCCUCCGGCUCAUCGCCAACGACCAGCCAGCACACUACGACUUGGCGAGCCUCCAACGUGCCAAGGACCAGGUAAAGUGCAGGAUCAAGCACCAAAUCCUGCCAACGGUCAAUGAGAUACGGCCGUUCAUGUGCCGGCUGGACGAUAUGAUGUACGCCGUUAUGGUGGGCGUCGGCACGGGGGCUGGGUUCCAGAAUUACCAGCUCGCGCUGGACAUGGCGGGCGGCUUGUCCUGGAUGCAGUGCUUGCCGUGCCAGCCCUGCCUGGCGCAGCUCAACCCGGUGUUCGAUCCAACCAAGUCGCCGACCUACAGCACCGUCCCGGCACACAAUACCCUCUGGUGUCGUCCUCCCUACCAAGCUUUGCCAAACGGGGCGUGCGGGUUCCGCAUUGAAUAUCGGGACACCACCGGGGCUUCGGGGUACCUUGCCAGGGACACCUUCUCCUUCCCGACCGGGAACAACCAGUUUGUGCCACUGGAGGGCGUCGUCUUUGGCUGCGCCCACCGCACCGAGCACUUCCAUAACCAGGACAAAGUCGCCGGCAUCCUCAGCUUGGGAAUGGGACCGGUGGGCAAGCCUCCGACAGCCUUCACGAAGCAGGUCCUUCGAUACCACGGCGGCCGCUUCUCCUACUGCCCGUUUAAGCCGGGGACAAGCCUGUACAGCUACCUCCGGUUUGGUAACGACAUCCCUAGCCGUCCACCGGCGGGCGUGCACCGCCAGAGCACGCCCGUCCUUGCGCCGGCCGAGAACAGAGAGGCCUACUUCGUCAAGCUCGCGGGGAUCACCAUCGGCGUCAACCGACUGCGCAGCGUCACGCCGGACAUGUUUCGGCGCACCGCACACGGGACGGGCGGGUGCGUGAUCGACAUCGGCACGAAGAUGACGUCGUUCGUGCAUGCGGCGUACGUCCACAUCGAGCAGGCGGUGCGGCAGCACCUGGAGCACCACGGAGCACAUAUCGUGGUGGUCCGAGGCCACAAGUGCGUGCAGCACCCAGCGGCGCACGUCCUCCCGAGCAUGACGCUCCAUUUCGAGAAUGGCGCGUGGCUCCGGGUGUUGCCGGAGCAUGUGUUCAUGCCGCUCGUCGUCGGCGGCCACCAUUACCAGUGCCUUGGCUUCGUCUCGUCCACGGACCUGACGGUCAUCGGCGCCCGGCAGCAAGUCAACCAUCGCUUCAUCUUCGACCUCCAUGAUACCAUACCCAUCUUGAGCUUUAAUGCGGAGGACUGUCACCUAGAAGGCGCCUGA